AUUGAACGCUGGCGGCAUGCUUUACACAUGCAAGUCGAACGGCAGCGCGGGCUUCGGCCUGGCGGCGAGUGGCGAACGGGUGAGUAAUGCAUCGGAACGUGCCCAGUAGUGGGGGAUAGCCCGGCGAAAGCCGGAUUAAUACCGCAUACGACCUGAGGGUGAAAGCGGGGGACCGAAAGGCCUCGCGCUAUUGGAUCGGCCGAUGUCGGAUUAGCUAGUUGGUGGGGUAAAGGCCUACCAAGGCGACGAUCCGUAGCUGGUCUGAGAGGACGACCAGCCACACUGGGACUGAGACACGGCCCAGACUCCUACGGGAGGCAGCAGUGGGGAAUUUUGGACAAUGGGGGCAACCCUGAUCCAGCCAUGCCGCGUGUGUGAAGAAGGCCUUCGGGUUGUAAACCGCUUUUGUUCGGGAAGAAAUCCUGUGGGCUAAUACCCCGGGGGGAUGACGGUACCGAAAGAAUAAGCACCGGCUAACUACGUG
Molecule: ribosomal RNA, 484 nt
Filed under: uncultured bacterium
Lineage: Bacteria
Description: partial 16S ribosomal RNA
Rfam family: Bacterial small subunit ribosomal RNA
Source: RNAcentral